CUUGUUUAUCGACUUCAUUGUGUACUACUUUUGAAUCCUCAGGAACUUUUACGUCAGCUUCAGAUUCUUUAGUAGGAAUAAUUGCUGACAGUUCUUUUGGUUUAUCAACAGCUUCAGCCGACAAUUCCUGAACAUCAACGACCAUAGGUUGCUCCUGAACAUCGACUAUCUUAGGUUGCUCCUGUGCUUCUGCAUGCUCAGUUACAGAGGCCGCAUCUGGUUGACUGUUAACAGCAUCAACUGCUGGCUCUGGAACACAUUCUGUAGCUGGUUCCCCAACUGGUUGAUUGUUAACAACAUCAACUGCUGGCUCUGCAUCUUUG
This 323-nucleotide long non-coding RNA is filed under the name Manihot esculenta (cassava). RNAcentral describes it as "long non-coding RNA (MESC_LNC005722)". Lineage: Eukaryota; Viridiplantae; Streptophyta; Magnoliopsida; Malpighiales; Euphorbiaceae. The record is from RNAcentral.